CAUUGCUUUCUAUAUAUAUACCUAUAUACUCGAUUUCCCCAGAAAUCAAAUUUAAAUGAAAAAUAUAUUGAAAUGAAAUGAAAUAUGAUGUGAUUGCCAUGCAUAGAAUGUUAUGGAUAUUAUGAACUGUCGUAUGAUGCAUAUAUGUAUGAUGGUGCUGUGGACGCACAGGUAAGUAUUUAAUUACUGUUAUGUUGAGGAUGAUGAUAUAUUGAGCUCAUAUCCUGCACCAUGGUUUAGUGCUUAUAGUAUUCACCGCAUCGCACGCUCGCCUUGGAUCCAAGUAGAUGCUGGUCGUACAGUCCACGCGGAGUGGGUACGACGGGCCAGUCGUAGAAUGUUAGUGAGAUUAUGACUGGUGGGUGACCUUAGGUUAUUGUAUACAGAUGAUUGAUGAGAGAAGCACUUGAGCGAAUAUUACCAUGAGUCGUUCAGACUGCAUUAGGUGGUUCCGACUUAUGUGCAGAAGGCCGGACAGGUCACGCGGAGUGACUCCGGCAGAGAGUGAGAUUGAUAGAUGUUGAGCUCUAGGUUCAAUCGUUCAGGACUAUUAGAGGGCCUCCGAUUGAUUAUUUCUUUUACCUGAUUUAUAUUAUGUCAAUGCAUUCAUACUAAACUGCUGAAUUUGGCAUGGUACAUUCUUUAUUGAAUCUGCUAUAAGAUUGUUGAUCGAGACAGUUGAGAUAUAUAUGCUAUAUACUAUUUUUCUGGGAAAGUAUACAGGUUUUCCAAAAAGGGGUUAUAAAUGUGGAUUUAUGAAAUGUUUUGGAAAAGCUUUAUUUUUCGCCCACUCACGUUUUCUGUUUUUCGCCCCUCCAGGUUCUAGUUGAUAGUUGAGGCGUUGGUGGCCUACGAGGACUGCUUCGGCGUUCUGACAGACUAAAUAAAUGUAGGAUUCACCCGAGGGUGUUGUAAAAUAGUUAUGGUCCUACUUGACUGCACCUAGACGCUUAUGCUCUGUUUAUGUGUGUUUAGUACACUCUUAUGCACAUAGAAUGCUAGGUUGUAAAUAACUGCAAUUAGUGGUUUUCGUUGACUCGUAUUUUAUUAUUAAAUCGUUUCCGCUUGCGUUAUGGUUACGUCACACUCACGUGACGGCCAGCACGUUCUAGUCUUCGGGUUAGGGUGUGUCAGUUUGGUAUCAGAGCAUAGGUUGCAGUCCUGUAUAACUAGUGAUUUUACUUAUUAAUUUUUGGAUGUUUUCUGUCAGAAUUAUGCCGCCUCGUAGAGAUCCUCGCCGUGCUGCUGAGCCUAAUUUCCCCGAUAUAACUCAGCUAGGGGCAUCAAUGGCUCAAGCUUUUCAGGCUAAUAUCCGUCCUCCUCAGAGAACACCUGUAGAGACGAUGUAUAAUCUGAAAUUGGAAACCUUUGAGGGAAAUGAAGGUUAUGAAGGGGCAGAAAAGUGGUUGGAUCGGAUUGAGCAGACCUUUCAAGUGAUGCAAAGUCAAGGAAACCUGCCAGCUAAUAGAUGGGUGGAGACCACCACCUGGUUUUUGGGCCGUGAGCCAGCGGCGUGGUGGAUAAAUCAGUCGAGGCACAUGGCACCUGAAAGGACAGCCGAAUGGGAGGUAUUUAAGGAAAAUUUUAUGAAGAGAUUUGUUCCUCCGGAAUAUAUAGAUCGCAAGAAACAGGAAUUCACCAGUCUGAAGCAGAGAAAUAUGUCCGCACAUGAGUACUACAGGAAGUUUACUGAUUUAUCCCGUUAUGAUUCUGAUUUAGCGGGUAAUCAAGCAGAAAUGCUUCGUCGUUUCAAGUUAGGAUCUAAGAAGAAGUACAGAACGUUUGCCAAUGCACUUCCCUGUGCCGAUUAUCAUGAGUAUUUUGAGAUUCUGGUCCGGAUGGAAGACUCUGAUAAUCUUCCGGACAGUGAGGAUGAAGAGGAUAAGGGUAAUGGUCAGAAGAAAAAUGAGAAAGGUAAAGGUGUUUCCAUUCCAGGACCUCGUCAGAUGCAGAAUUUUAAGAAGAGUGGAAUGAGUUCUAGUUCUUCCAGUGGUGGAUUUAGUGCCACAGGUCCGAGGAGAGGAGGUGGUAGGUUUGGUAAUGGACCUAGAUUUUCUGGUCAGAGAGGCUUUGGUGGUACUGGUAGUUCGGGUUCUCCGUUAUGUCGCCGUUGUAAUUUCCGACAUUAUGGGGAAUGUAGGAGAAUCAGUGGUGCAUGCUUUACAUGUGGUCAGACAGGACAUAGAGCUAUGAAUUGUCCCCAGAAUCAGCAGAGGCCCCAGCAGCCUGUUAGGCCAACACCAGCACCGACUCAACAGAACUUUAAUUCAGGCAGUUAUGGCCAGGUUGGUCGUGGUGGUGCUUAUCAUUAUCAGGGUGAUGCUACUCCAUAUGCUCCAGGACAGUAUCACUAUUCCCAGGAUCCUUAUUCUCAGAGUGGAUAUUCUCAGGAUCAGGGAGGUUAUACUUCAUAUCCGUCUAUGCCAGCUAGCGGAUCUCAGUGGUAUCAGGGGGGUCAGCCCCAACAGAGCGGAGUUGCUGCUAGCAGUGCAGGGUCGUUUAGGCCGCCUGCCCAGACAGGUCAAGGAAGUAUUCAUCAGGGACGAGGUAAUCAGAGUGGCAGAUGUCGUGGAGGACGACAGCCAGCUCAGGGACGUGUUAACCACAUAUCGCUGCAAGAUGCUCAGAACCAUCCAGACUUGAUUAUGGGUACGUUGAAUGUUCUUGGUCAUUUUGCUAGAGUCUUGAUUGAUUGUGGUGCUACACACUCUGUGAUUUCUCAUACAUUUGCUCAAAUGACACAACCUCAUCCUUCACCUCUAGGGUUUGAUUUAGAGUUUGCUAUGCCUAGAGGGGAUAAAUGUUAUGUUGAUAGUUUUUACUCUGGGUGUCCAGUGAUGGUAGAUAAUGUCAUUAUGCCUGCUAAUCUUAUCCCGUUAGACAUCGUGGAUUUUGAUGUGAUUUUAGGGGCGGAUUGGUUGCAUUAUAAUCGCGCCCAUAUAGAUUGUUACGGGAAAUCAGUUACUUUUCUUCGUCCUGGACUACCUGAGGUUACAUUUGUGGGUGAAAGAAAUGGGGUGAGGCAUGGUGUUAUUUCAGCCAUAAGGGCAAAGAAGUUGUUAUCCAAGGGUUGUCAGGGAUACUUGGCACAUGUGGUGUUAAAUGAUGUUGAUUCCGGUAGUGUGGAGGAAGUCGGAGUAGUCAGACACUAUCCUGAUGUAUUUCCAGAUGAUUUACCUGGGUUGCCUCCAGAUAGAGAUGUGGAAUUUUCGAUUGAUUUACUUCCAGGUACGAACCCUAUCUCUUUGACUCCUUAUAGAAUGGCACCAUCGGAAUUAAGAGAGUUGAAAAUUCAAUUGCAAGAGUUAAUUGAUAAAGGUUUCAUUCAGCCUAGUUCUUCACCGUGGGGAGCUCCGGUGUUGUUUGUAAGAAAGAAAGAUGGAACUUUGAGAUUGUGCAUUGAUUACAGGCAAUUGAAUCGGGUGACGAUUAAAAACCGUUAUCCCUUGCCUCGUAUAGAUGAUUUGUUUGAUCAGCUCAAAGGUGCCUGUGUGUUUUCUAAGAUCGAUUUGAGGUCUGGGUAUUAUCAAUUAAAGAUUAAAGAUGAGGAUGUUCAUAAAACAGCUUUCAGGACUCGUUAUGGGCAUUAUGAGUUUUUGGUGAUGCCAUUUGGAUUAACGAACGCUCCUGCAGCUUUCAUGAGAUUGAUGAAUGAAGUAUUCCAGGAAUAUCUUGACAAGUUUGUUAUUGUUUUUAUUGAUGACAUCCUGGUAUAUUCUAAGUCGAAAUCAGACCAUAUUCGACAUCUUAACUUGGUGUUAAGGAAAUUGAGGGAACACCGAUUAUAUGCCAAAUUUAGUAAAUGUGAAUUUUGGCUGGAUCAAGUGGCAUUUUUGGGACAUGUGGUAUCAGCUCAGGGAAUUCAAGUGGAUCCUCAAAAGAUAGCAGCAGUGGAAAAUUGGGAACAACCUCGAACGGUCACUGAGGUGCGGAGUUUUCUUGGUUUGGCAGGUUAUUAUAGACGGUUUGUUCAAGACUUUUCUAUGAUUGCCUUGCCAUUAACGAAGUUAACCAGGAAGGAUGUUAAGUUUGAAUGGGAUGAAAGUUGUGAGCAAAGUUUCCAGCAGUUGAAGUAUUGCCUUACUCAUGCACCUGUGUUAGUACUUCCUGAUGAUGAUGGUAACUUCGAGAUCUAUAGUGAUGCUUCUUUGAAUGGUUUGGGUUGUGUUUUGAUGCAGCAUAGUAGAGUGAUUGCCUAUGCUUCUAGGCAGUUGAAGACUCAUGAAAGAAACUAUCCGACUCACGAUCUUGAGUUAGCAGCUAUUGUGUUUGCUUUGAAGAUCUGGAGACAUUAUCUCUAUGGCGAGAAAUGUAAGAUCUUUACAGAUCAUAAAAGCCUUAAGUACCUUUUCACUUAGCAUGAUCUUAAUCUUCGUCAGAGAAGAUGGUUGGAAUUGUUAAGUGAUUAUGAUUGCACGAUUGAGUACCAUCCGGGUCGUGCAAAUGUGGUAGCUGAUGCUCUGAGUAGAAAACCUCAAGGGCGACUUAAUGCUUUGUAUGCCAGUCGUGUUUCUCUUCUUGCAGAGUUGAGAUCUACUGGAGUAGAGUUAGAAUUGGAAGAGCAAAGUGAAGCUUUUCUUGCCAAUUUUCAAGUCAAGCCAAUUUUAAUUGAUCGGGUGCUUACAGCUCAAUCGUUGGAUGAAGAAAUUCAAGAAUUGAUCAGUUUAAGAAAGGAAAGCUAAGCCCCAGGUACAUUGGACCUUAUGAGAUCACUGAGAGGAUUGGUGAAGUUGCUUACAGGUUGGAGCUACCUCCAGAGUUGUCUAAGGUACAUAAUGUGUUCCAUGUCUCGAUGCUUCGACAUUAUGUUUCAGAUCCUUCACAUGUGAUUCCUCCUCAACCAUUGGAAAUUAAUCCGGACUUGACGUACGAUGAGGAACCAGUGACUAUACUGGAUUGGAAAGAUAAAACUUUGAGGAAUAAGACCGUGAACUUGGUAAAAGUAUUGUGGAGAAACCAUUCAGCGGAAGAAGCUACAUGGGAGACAGAAGAACGGAUGAGAGAUAUGUAUCCGAGGCUAUUUUAUGAGUAUUGAGGGUUUGGUUGGUGACUGGAAUUUCGGGGACGAAAUUCUAUAAGGAGGGGAGAUUGUCACAGCCCGUCCCAGAAUUACUUAAUACCGAGGACGUGAAAUUACAGAAACGCCCUUAAACGGGAUUAAGGUGCGUAAUUUUGACAUUUGUUUUACUUUAAGAUCCUAAACUAGGGUUAGAAUUAUAUAUUUGUAUGUGUUAAUAUUAUAUGGGUUAAGGUAGGGCCUUAUACCCUAAAUCCCUCCCCAAAACCCGUUUUGUUGUCUCUCUCUCAUCUCCCUAGUCACUCUCUCUCUCUUAUUCUUCAGAAAACACUCUCUCACUCUCUCUCUUACUCUCAUUCUCUCUCAAACUCUCGGACAAACACCCAAGACCUUGAAAACUUCACAAGUUAAGGUUGAGGAAGGUAGCAUCGUGUUCGUAAGGACCAUACGAACACAUUGAUAUUGUUUUCAGGUAAGAUUUCCCACGAUUCCAUGUAGAAAACUUAAGCUCCGAGAUUGCUACUGUUCAUGAACUUAAAUUUGGUUGUGUUUUAGGUUAAACAAAGAUCACCACGAGUCUUAGGAAGUCCCAAGGAGGCUCGGAGUGCCUCAUUUGAACAAAAUGGACGUCGGGAUCGUCGGGUUCGAGUUUGGCCGAAAUUGAGGAAUUUUGGAAGGUAUGAUCUCGUAGUUUUUAGGCCUUAAAACCCUUCCAACGUGAUAAUGCUUCAUUUUGGUGUAAAAUUCGAAGAAAUUGGACGAAAAACGAAGGAGAAUAGUGGAUUUGAAAAUUUUCCAGAAACCGGCGACCGGCGACUCGCCGGAGAAGACAGGGAAUCUUCCGUCAAGUUUGACGGAAUAUUCCGACGCCGUUAGUUAACUUUAACGGAAACCGUUAGUUUUUAACGGAAUAUUCCGGGAAUAUUCCUAACGCCGUUCACUGUACCGUCAGUGUGCCUGGCACGUGGCUGCGCGUGGGCCGCGCGUAGGUCCGUGCCACGUCAGGCGCGUGGGGGCGCGUGGAGCAUCCAAAAAUUAUUUUAAAAAUAUGGGGAUGAUCCUGAGGUUGUGUAGGUCACUGUGGUAUAUUCAUAUACCCAAUUUGAGCAUCGUAUGAAGAAUUUAUUACCUAGUUGGUUUAGGUGCGUUUAAUGUGCGUUAAAUGAUUGUUUUAAGUUAUUUCACUUCUAGGUGGAACUUUUAACGAGGACGAGCACAUCCAGGGCGUCAAGGGGGUUACGACCCGGCGACAUACCAGUGAGUGGGCAUUGCUUUCUAUAUAUAUACUUAUAUACUCGAUUUCCCCAGAAAUCAAAUUUAAAUGAAAAAUAUAUUGAAAUGAAAUGAAAUAUGAUGUGAUUGCCAUGCAUAGAAUGUUAUGGAUAUUAUGAACUGUCGUAUGAUGCAUAUAUGUAUGAUGGUGCUGUGGACGCACAGGUAAGUAUUUAAUUACUGUUAUGUUGAGGAUGAUGAUAUAUUGAGCUCAUAUCCUGCACCAUGGUUUAGUGCUUAUAGUAUUCACCGCAUCGCAACGCUCGCCUUGGAUCCAAGUAGAUGCUGGUCGUACAGUCCACGCGGAGUGGGUACGACGGGCCAGUCGUAGAAUGUUUAGUGAGAUUAUGACUGGUGGGUGACCUUAGGUUAUUGUAUACAGAUGAUUGAUGAGAGAAGCACUUGAGCGAAUAUUACCAUGAGUCGUUCAGACUGCAUUAGGUGGUUCCGACUUAUGUGCAGAAGGCCGGACAGGUCACGCGGAGUGACUCCGGCAGAGAGUGAGAUUGAUAGAUGUUGAGCUCUAGGUUCAAUCGUUCAGGAC
This 6833-nucleotide long non-coding RNA is filed under the name Malus domestica (apple). RNAcentral's name for it is "long non-coding RNA (MDOM_LNC011564)". The record is from RNAcentral. Lineage: Eukaryota; Viridiplantae; Streptophyta; Magnoliopsida; Rosales; Rosaceae.